Gadus macrocephalus (Pacific cod) is the source of this 699-nucleotide long non-coding RNA. RefSeq lists it as uncharacterized. The transcript has 3 exons. The record is from RefSeq and is a predicted model, not a curated record. Lineage: Eukaryota; Metazoa; Chordata; Actinopteri; Gadiformes; Gadidae.
CGACACUUCCAUUGGACUCCGUUGUAGCGCCUACUUCCGGGGUAUGGAGCCUCGAAUAGUUCCAAACAACCAUUUUACGGCGGAGGAGACCGUUCAUUUCCAUUGCUGGCCGCCGAGUAACUUCUGAGGGUGAUGUUCAGCACAUGAAGCCCUACAGAUGCCGCCGAUUCAACAAUGCUGAUUAUGAUGGGCGGUCAAUUUAACCUUUGCCUUAUUAGGUCCUCCACAGUCGCCCCAUCAGUCCCUGGCAGUCUGGUCCCUGGAGCAGCUGGCCCUGGCAAAAGUUAUUCCUUCACUGUUGACCCCUGACUGACUGGCCCUCGGCACACAAAUCCCUGGAUCACCUGCCCCUGGAUCACCUGCCCCUGGAUCACCUGCCCCUGGCAAUGUAACAUCUUGAUUGCUCUCUCCGUCUCCUGUGAUGUCCUUUUCAACGCUCUUGAAAUCCACCUCAAUUUCUCCCUCAAUCUCUGUAAUAAUUACAAGGUAAUGUUGCUGUUAUAUGUAUUUUGCCUUUGCAUUUGCAACUACUGUCAUCUCCAAUGUAAUAAAAUGAAUUAAAGCAAAACAUUUCUGUAAUGUGAAUUAAAUCAUCUGCCACAAUCAGAAACCAAUACAAUUUAUAAAUGGAUCUACCGGCAAUUGUUAAUUGGGUAGAAAUGUGUCGAUUAUCUACAUUGUGUGCAAAUCCUCAGAGAA